RNAcentral lists this long non-coding RNA (958 nucleotides) under Sorghum bicolor (sorghum). RNAcentral's name for it is "long non-coding RNA (SBIC_LNC000521)". Lineage: Eukaryota; Viridiplantae; Streptophyta; Magnoliopsida; Poales; Poaceae. The record is from RNAcentral.
CAAAGCAAAGGGCUCAGCGUCUUCGUAGGAUCGAUGCGAAACUCGGCCAAGUCUCGAAUUCGCCAGAACGGUUAUGAGUUGUAGUUUCCACGGCGGCGGCUUCCUCAAGCUCUCGGCGAGAUCCAAACUCAAGAACACACGAAGCUAGGGCCCUAAUAAGCUGCGUAGAUGAACAAGUAAGGAGCAGGGAAGGAGCUGGGGCUUUAUAGGGCUUCGCUUGGCGCAAAAAGGCAACGAAUCACGGCUUUCCCGGGGAUCGAUUCCGCCCGGAAUCGUGUCCUGCUUGGACUCGAGGAGGAAGAAAGGAAACGCUCACUGCCAGGCGGGACCCGAGCGUCAGAGAGAAGGAGAGACGGGCCCAGCUGGCAGAGAGAAGGAGAGGGGGAUGGCGCGGCCUGGCUGAGGGAACUGUGCUGGGUGGAAGCUGGGCCGCGGCUGGCCUGCUUGGCUGGGCCGAGAGCGGGGCCGGAAUGAGAGGGGAGAGGAAAUGGGAAGAAAGGAGAGAAACCAGGCCUUCGGGCCAGAUUCCAGGUAAGGGGCUUCUUCUCUCUUUUUUUUAUAUUUUUUUUUAUUUCCAAACCAUUAUCAAAUCAGUUUGAAACAAUUUUGAACUUUGCUCAAAGUCACACAAUAAAAUGAAAAUAAAUGCUCCAACAUGAAUGCUCAAACAAGUUGCUAAACUUAUGAUAAAUUUUAAUGAAAAAUAUUAUUCCCCUAUGUUUCAUGAGCACAAAAAUUCAUAAAUAAAUCAUUUUAGCUCUAUUUUCCAGAAAACAAUUUUUUGGGUGUUAUAGCUAGCUGCUACAUUGCCUCUUGCCACUAACAUUGAGCAGGUAAAGAACAUAACUACUAGAGGAGGAAAAGCCACCAGGGAUCCCCCAUACCCAAAAGAGAAACAAAAAACAUCAGCACCAGUGCAACCAGCAGUGAUAGAAGAAGAAAGCCCAGUUGAAGCAGA